This 484-nucleotide ribosomal RNA is filed under the name uncultured bacterium. Its description in RNAcentral is "partial 16S ribosomal RNA". It matches the Rfam family "Bacterial small subunit ribosomal RNA", at positions 30 to 507 of the family's 1533-position model. The record is from RNAcentral.
AUUGAACGCUGGCGGAAUGCUUUACACAUGCAAGUCGAACGGCAGCACGGGGGCAGCCCUGGUGGCGAGUGGCGAACGGGUGAGUAAUACAUCGGAACGUGCCCGGUCGUGGGGGAUAACGUAGCGAAAGUUACGCUAAUACCGCAUACGAUCUGAGGAUGAAAGCGGGGGACCUUCGGGCCUCGCGCGAUCGGAGCGGCCGAUGUCAGAUUAGGUAGUUGGUGGGGUAAAGGCCUACCAAGCCGACGAUCUGUAGCUGGUCUGAGAGGACGACCAGCCACACUGGAACUGAGACACGGCCCAGACUCCUACGGGAGGCAGCAGUGGGGAAUUUUGGUCAAUGGGCGCAAGCCUGAUCCAGCCAUUCCGCGUGCAGGACGAAGGCCUUCGGGUUGUAAACUGCUUUUGUACGGAACGAAAAGGCUCUGGCUAAUACCUGGGGCUCAUGACGGUACCGUAAGAAUAAGCACCGGCUAACUACGUG